This 234-nucleotide ribosomal RNA is filed under the name uncultured Candidatus Saccharibacteria bacterium. RNAcentral's name for it is "partial 16S ribosomal RNA". It matches the Rfam family "Bacterial small subunit ribosomal RNA", at positions 584 to 818 of the family's 1533-position model. The record is from RNAcentral. Lineage: Bacteria; Candidatus Saccharimonadota.
UAAGCGGGAUGUGAAUCCAAGGGCUCAACCCUUGAACUGCAUUUCGAACCGGCAGACUUGAGAAUGGGAGAGGAAGCUGGAAUUCCUAGUGUAGGAGUGAAAUCCGUAGAUAUUAGGAGGAACACCAAUGGCGAAGGCAGGCUUCUGGCCCAUUUCUGACGCUGAGGCACGAAAGCGUGGGGAGCGAACGGGAUUAGAUACCCCGGUAGUCCACGCCGUAAACGAUGGAUACUA